UAGCUUUUUGCACAUGGUCGUCGUGCUCCAUUCAUACGAGUUUCUUCUUUCGUCCUCUUCCUUCAUUGCACGGACGACAUGCAGAUGCUGAGAUGAGAUGCACGCAUGUGAAGUGAAACGAACUGAUGAAUCGGUCGACGACCCAUAAGGAUCGUGUGAGUUGGGGCACCGCUCGCCUCUGUCUACUGUUAGUCUGUUUGCUGAUCUCGCUCUGUAGACGCAUGUACGGAGAAGAACGAAGAAGCUACGGUUUUUUAUCCAUUCGAUCACCGGUUAAUAAUUACGGCUCCCUCCGUUUCAAAUUGUAAUUUAUUCUAAUUUUUUGAAAAUCAAAGCAUAUCAAGUCUGACCAAAUUUAUACAAUAAAAACUAACAUUCAUGAUACCAAAUAAGUAACUUUAGUUUCUUCAUUAAAUAUUUUUUCAUAGUAUAUCUAUUUGGUGUCAUAAAUCUUUGUAUUCCUCUCUAUAAUUUUGAUCAAACAUAAAAUGGUUUGACUCUUCAAUAAAAUUGGAAUGACUUACAAUUUAAAAGGGAGUAGCUAGUUAGAAUGCUUUUAAAAUUCUCCUGUUUGGUCGCCGUCAACUAAGGAUGGGUACUGUUUUUACGAUUACACUGCACGCAUACCACUUCACGUGCGCUUGAAUAUUUCUUUUUUAAUAUUCUCUUCCCAAAUUACUAUUCGUUUUGGCUUUUCUAGAUGCAUAGGACGUAGUAUACAUAUAGAAUUUUAGAUGCAGAUAUGUAUCUAGAAAACUCAAAACUCAAAAUGAAUAGUAAUUUGGGACGAAAGGAGUAUAUCCCAUCACACGCCUACAAUUAAAUCGCUGAAAGUCAGUACUCUCAUGAAUAUAUUAAUAUACAUGUGUGCAUCAUGAUUUCAACACUUCAAAUAUUUCUUUUCAGUAUAUACCCCAUCACACGCCUAGAGCUUAAAUCGCUGAAAGUUAGUACCCUCAUGAAUAUAUUAAUAUAUGUGCUUGUGUACAUCAGGAGUUUCAACACUAAUGGGUCUCCAUAGUAGUACGAAAGCUCAAAGUUGCUUCCCUCCGGUCUUCAAAUAGUCACCGGGACAAUACUUUAAUUAACCAUAAAUUAAUAAUAUCGAACGCAUUCAAAAUAUAGCAAAAACAAUUACUAUUGUGAAACUACUAUUUGAGACGAAACUAAUCACACCAUUCUUGUUAAUUUAAAAUACACAAAUAGACAUUAACGGUCAAAACUAAAAUAUAUUGACUGCAUAAACGCAGGGAGUAGCUUAGAUUAUCAUUAUGAACUACGUUAACAUAAACUCAUAAACUAACUUUUAAUAUGUGUUAGAUGAAUAAACUGUUAACUGUGUAUGCUUACUCAUAUAAAGAACCUUGAAUCAGUACCAAGCUAACUUUUCAAGAUUCUCAAUGUGUGUGGAUUUUCUCUAGACUCCACCAACUCUAAAUGGACGAGUAGAGGCCCAAAAGAACAAUUGCUCCAAGGGCUAGGAAAUGCAGUGAGCAUAGGACCUUGCUCUUUUCUUUUACACUUCAACUUGUCUCUGGUCAUUCGUCUUGUACGGUCAAAACUCCAACGAGUAUAUUUUUUGAAUCGUCGGAUCUUUUGACGCUCCUCUAGGAUCUUCCUACCAGUGGAAUUUAGUAAACACAUCAGAUCUUCCUAUGCUACUUUCGGAUGGAUAUUCUAAUAGCCACUUUUCUAAUUUGAACAUAACUUUUUACUCCAUGAUAUAGUUUUAAUAAUCUUAGACUCUAAAGGAAGCUUGUGAAAUGCUCUCAAGAUUGUCCAAAAAUCCAUACCAUUUGAUCAGACCAAAAAUAUGCAUUUUUUGUAUGCAUGGAAGUUUCUUUGAAACUUCUUGACUGUUCCAUCAAAUCUUCCGAGAGAUGACCACUUUUUGUAUUUUGGCAUAACUUUCUACUCUUGCCUCCGAUUUUGUUGAUCCUAAGAAUAUAUAGAAAUAUUGUGAAACACACUACAAGAUUAUCCAUAAAUCAAUCCCAUUUGAUCAAACCAAAAUAUAAAUAGUAUGUGACAACAAAUCCAGUUCAUUUCUCUCUUCAUUAUGAUUUUGUGGGUCUUUUGUGUUGUAUCUUUGGAACCUAUGAAGCCCUAUAAAUAUUUAUUUUUGAGAAAUACAUUAGUCCUAAUAACAAUAUUAUCUUUCAAUCACAAGAAUCACAGAUAAUGGCUUACGGGCCAUUUUGCUCAUACUUAGCUUAGUGUUUUAACAAUGCCAAGACACGUAAACACAUGUAUUCUUAUCCCUAUAACAUGUACACACACCCUACUCUUUAGGACUCCCUCCGUUCCAAAUUAUAGGUCGUUUUGAUUUUUCUAGGUUCAUACAUAUUAUUAUGCACCUAGACAUACACUAUAUCCAGAUGCAUAAUAAUAUCUAUGAACCUAAAAAUGCUAAAACGACCUACAAUUUGGAACGGAAGGAGUAUGUCAAGAUUAAUAAAAGGAACUACUCCUCCGAGAAAAUCUUAAGACUAACGAAGUUAAUACACGUAAUACUGCAGAAACUCUUAUCUAUGUCGGCUCAGCAAAAUUGGAGCCAGCACAGCUAGUCAUCCUUGCUGGCUCAUAAUAGAAGCAUCGUUAAGUCUACCAAGUGUUAUCCAUAGAAAUUUGUAGGCAACAUGAGUCAACUGGCGGUCCAUGCCGGCUCCAAUACUUUUGCAAAGAAACAUAAGGUAAUAAGGAAGUAAGUAACCUAACUUUUAGACUUUGUUUAGAAACAUAAGUAAUCCCCUCCAAUCCAUACAUAUUGGGAGAGAUUAAGGGGAAAAUCAGUUUGUUUUGCACUCCAAUAUUUAGGAGAGAUGAGUAUAUAUGUCCAAACAAAAGGCCAUAUAGCACAACGUGCUCAAUACAGGAAAAACGCCAACUAAGUAUAAACAUCUUUGCCAACUAAGGUAAGACAAGAAAUUAACCUACUACCUCUUUUUCGUCGUUGUGAUCAUGAGCUUAAAAGCAGUGUUCCGGAGGACGAACCGACAGGUCCGAGGGGGGCAAACCACCGCCAUCAUCGCUCCUCGCGAGCGGCGCGGCGCA
Molecule: RNA transcript, 3054 nt
Organism: Setaria italica (foxtail millet)
Lineage: Eukaryota; Viridiplantae; Streptophyta; Magnoliopsida; Poales; Poaceae
Gene name: protein AUXIN-REGULATED GENE INVOLVED IN ORGAN SIZE-like
Exons: 2
Source: RefSeq, a predicted model, not a curated record